Molecule: unclassified non-coding RNA, 23 nt
Filed under: Mus musculus (house mouse)
Lineage: Eukaryota; Metazoa; Chordata; Mammalia; Rodentia; Muridae
Description: oocyte_clustered_small_RNA11642
Source: RNAcentral
UUCCACAGGAUGCCAACAGCAAA